Molecule: ribosomal RNA, 492 nt
Filed under: uncultured bacterium
Lineage: Bacteria
Description: partial 16S ribosomal RNA
Rfam family: Bacterial small subunit ribosomal RNA
Source: RNAcentral
AGUGAACGCUGGCGGUAGGCCUAACACAUGCAAGUCGAACGGCAGCACAGUAAGAGCUUGCUCUUACGGGUGGCGAGUGGCGGACGGGUGAGGAAUACAUCGGAAUCUACUUUUUCGUGGGGGAUAACGUAGGGAAACUUACGCUAAUACCGCAUACGACCUACGGGUGAAAGCAGGGGAUCUUCGGACCUUGCGCGAUUGAAUGAGCCGAUGUCGGAUUAGCUAGUUGGCGGGGUAAAGGCCCACCAAGGCGACGAUCCGUAGCUGGUCUGAGAGGAUGAUCAGCCACACUGGAACUGAGACACGGUCCAGACUCCUACGGGAGGCAGCAGUGGGGAAUAUUAGACAAUGGGCGCAAGCAUGAUCCAGCCAUACCGCGUGGGUGAAGAAGGCCUUCGGGUUGUAAAGCCCUUUUGUUGGGAAAGAAAAGCAGCAGGUUAAUACCCCGCUGUUCUGACGGUACCCAAAGAAUAAGCACCGGCUAACUUCGUG